AAUUACACAUGUAAAUCUCAGU
RNAcentral lists this microRNA (22 nucleotides) under Ornithorhynchus anatinus (platypus). RNAcentral describes it as "oan-miR-7435-3p". Lineage: Eukaryota; Metazoa; Chordata; Mammalia; Monotremata; Ornithorhynchidae. The record is from miRBase by way of RNAcentral.